RNAcentral lists this ribosomal RNA (253 nucleotides) under uncultured prokaryote. RNAcentral describes it as "partial 16S ribosomal RNA". It matches the Rfam family "Bacterial small subunit ribosomal RNA", at positions 524 to 776 of the family's 1533-position model. The record is from RNAcentral.
UACAGGGGGUGCUAGCGUUGUUCGGAAUUACUGGGCGUAAAGGGCGCGUAGGCGGCUUUGUAAGUCAGAUGUGAAAUCCCCGGGCUUAACUCGGGACGUGCAUUUGAAACUGCGAGGCUAGAGUGCAGUAGAGGAUGGUAGAAUUCCCAGUGUAGAGGUGAAAUUCGUAGAUAUUGGGAGGAAUACCGGUGGCGAAGGCGGCCAUCUGGGCUGCAACUGACGCUGAGGCGCAAAAGCGUGGGGAUCAAACAGG